CCAGGAUAUAAAACACAAGAAGGGUGAGGAUUAUGAGACUGUGCUAGGUGGAUUUCCCGAUACUCACGACCAGAUUUUUAAAGAAUGCCAAAUGCUGGCACAUGGGAAGAUUCACACGGUAAAGAAGAGACCUUCACCUCCUCUCACUAGAAAGAAAGCAAAAGGGAAAGAACCUAUGAGAUGGUUUGAUGUGUUCAAAUGGAUCUCUAAGAAUGUUGAGUACAGUGUUAAGGAUAUCAGUCUGAAAGAGGCGCCCUCUUGAUUUAAGGGUCGUGCAAAGUCGAGCUAACCGACUUUAAACAAAGCGCUGCGUGGGAGGCAACCCACGAGUUUUUAUUUUAAUGUUUUCAUUUGAAUUUGCAGAAAAUAAAGAGAUCGAUCGCUUAACACCCAUAAGUUGCAAAUCUCCAGGUUUUGCACUCCAAUUAUACUCUAGAGUUGCAACAGUGAGGACACUGUUGAAUUUAAGUUUAGGGGAGCAUUUCACUACUUUUAUUUAUUUUUCAGUCAUUUCAAUUUAUUUCCCUUUUCGCAUAAUAAAAAAUUAAAUUUAUAGUGUUUUCUUUGGUUUUUCUAAAUUUUUCCUUUUCUUGAGCCAAUUUAAAAUUUUUUUCUAAAUAUUUAGGACAAUUAUUCACUUAGAAAGUAUAUAGGUUAAGAAAGGAUGAGAGGCUAAGUUAAGGAAAUUAGGGAAUUUUACAACAAAAUCGGUAUUUUUCCAACACCCAGAAGUCUCCCUAGUAUAGAUAUCAAUUUGAAUAGCCAUUGUGCAAAAAUCUCCUUAUUUAAAUUUGUGGAUUCCUUUAGUAGUUUAUUUAUCCAGUCGGACACCAUCUAUAGUCACACAUUAAGUAAGUUUGUCGAUGAAUAUAAGCGAAUCAUCAAAGUAAAUUAAAGGUCAUACUGUGGUAAUACGGUUAAACCUUGGAAAAAAAAAUUUGAAUAUUGCUUGUGAAAGUAAUACGAAAAUUUGCAUCAUCAAGAUAAUUUGCGAGAAAAAAAAGAGUAAAAUCGCUAACCGAUUUUCUUACCAUGUGUGUGACAUAGAUAAAGGGUCUUAAUGUGACUGUCUAGAAUGAAAAAGGAUAAAACAAAGGAAAUGAUCUAGAUUUUAG
RNAcentral lists this long non-coding RNA (1115 nucleotides) under Trifolium pratense (red clover). Its description in RNAcentral is "long non-coding RNA (TPRA_LNC007028)". The record is from RNAcentral. Lineage: Eukaryota; Viridiplantae; Streptophyta; Magnoliopsida; Fabales; Fabaceae.